Molecule: long non-coding RNA, 1107 nt
Organism: Setaria italica (foxtail millet)
Lineage: Eukaryota; Viridiplantae; Streptophyta; Magnoliopsida; Poales; Poaceae
Exons: 2
Source: RefSeq, a predicted model, not a curated record
UCCAAUUGUGAAAUUAGGUUUGUAAUUAGUCUAUGUUUAAUACUCUUAAUUAGUAUCUAAACAUUCGAUGUGAUACGAAUUUUAGGAGCUCCUAAAGAACCCUUAGAUCUAGAUAAAUCUCAAACAUCCGUUAGCGUAAGAGGGGGUACACCACUUAUUAGUCCCGUAACGCUAAUAGAUGAGUGUGUUGGGAGUUUUCCUCCCAAUAAAUACGAACCACCCCCUUAUGAAAAAGACGCAUCAUAUACUACUAUAUAGGAAGGCCUCUAGGUUCGGGUAUCCCUUUAGGUGGUCGGUACGAGUUAGGUUUUGCCUCUUCUACACUGUUACGCCGCUACAGUAGUCUUUCCAUCCCGUUGCGUCGGCGUGCACCGGCGAGCGGGAGAGUUAUGAUCCUGCAUUGAGAAAGGGCGAAUAAGGGUUUUAGGAAGCGCUCCGUGCGACUGCUCAUGUUCGUCAUCACGGCUCGUCCUCCGUCCAUGUCAGGCGCUGUAGCGUACCGUCGUCUUCAACGCCGGCUGCUGCGAUACGUCCGCAACACUGUUGUCGUCCCGUGAGUGCUCCUCGUCAUCAUGACUUCCCGGACGCACACCUCGGAGAUGAUGUCGUCGGCGCGGGCGAGGUGCGUGCGGCAUCCCCUGCACCUGUAGACGUUGCCGCCCCGCGUCGUUGAGCUCGACGGGACGGCCAUUGCUGGCGUCACCCCCGUCGAGGGUGGGGCGGUUGGUCAUCUCGGUCACGGCGCCCAUGGCAGCCGCGGCCGCGAUCUCCACGGGCGUGGCGGCGGCGCCGCGGCGGGGAUCGGCGUGUCCAUGCCGCUCUCCAUCGGGCGGGCCUCCUCUCCUCUGAUCGGAAGAACAGGAAGACGGAGUCCUAGCGUAGGUAACUCAAGCGAAUACUUCGUCAGUUAGUUUGUUUCCCGGGAAAAUUGGAUCUGUACUCUGUUAUCUGUUACAAUUUAAAAGAUCCAAAUCUAAGGUUCCGUUUAGGAUAACUUAUUUUGGCUUAAUGAUGUACUGUAGCGUGUUGUGUAGCGUGCUGCCAUUUUGUAAUCUGUUAUCUGUUACAAUUUAAAAGUUGAAGCCACUGUUUUUUUAGCUUCGCCAA